RNAcentral lists this ribosomal RNA (497 nucleotides) under uncultured bacterium. RNAcentral describes it as "partial 16S ribosomal RNA". It matches the Rfam family "Bacterial small subunit ribosomal RNA", at positions 28 to 507 of the family's 1533-position model. The record is from RNAcentral.
GAUGAACGCUGGCGGCGUGCCUAACACAUGCAAGUCGAGCGAACGGACGAGAAGCUUGCUUCUCUGAUGUUAGCGGCGGACGGGUGAGUAACACGUGGAUAACCUACCUAUAAGACUGGGAUAACUUCGGGAAACCGGAGAUACUACCGGAUAAUAUUUUGAACCGCAUGGUUCAAAAGUGAAAGACGGCCUUGCUGUCACAUAUAGAUGGAUCCGCGCUGCAUUAGCUAGUUGGUAAGGUAACGGCAUACCAAGGCAACGAUGCAUAGCCGACCUGAGAGGGUGAUCGGCCACACUGGAACUGAGACACGGUCCAGACUCCUACGGGAGGCAGCAGUAGGGAAUCUUGCGCAAUGGGCGAAAGCCUGACGGAGCAACGCCGCGUGAGUGAUGAAGGUCUUCGGAUCGUAAAACUCUGUUAUUAGGGAAGAACAGAUGUGUAAGUAACUGUGCACAUCUUGACGGUACCUAAUCAGAAAGCAACGGCUAACUACGUG